UCCAGACUCCUACGGGAGGCAGCAGUGGGGAAUAUUGCACAAUGGGGGAAACCCUGAUGCAGCGACGCCGCGUGGGUGAAGAAGUAUUUCGGUAUGUAAAGCCCUCUCAGCAGGGAAGAAAGAGGACGGUACCUGACUAAGAAGCCCCGGCUAACUACGUGCCAGCAGCCGCGGUAAUACGUAGGGGGCAAGCGUUAUCCGGAUUUACUGGGUGUAAAGGGAGCGUAGACGGCAGAUCAAGUCUGGAGUGAAAUCCCGGGGCUCAACCCCGGAGCUGCUCUGGAAACUGAGAAGCUAGAGUGCUGGAGAGGCAGGCGGAAUUCCUAGUGUAGCGGUGAAAUGCGUAGAUAUUAGGAGGAACACCAGUGGCGAAGGCGGCCCGCUGGACAGCGACUGACGUUGAGGCUCGAAAGCGUGGGGAGCAAACAGGAUUAGAUACCCCAGUA
Molecule: ribosomal RNA, 446 nt
Filed under: uncultured bacterium
Lineage: Bacteria
Description: partial 16S ribosomal RNA
Rfam family: Bacterial small subunit ribosomal RNA
Source: RNAcentral